GGAGCGAAUCACAAAACUCGGUCUCAGUUCAGAUUGCAGGCUGCAACUCGCCUGCAUGAAGUUGGAAUUGCUAGUAAUCGCGAAUCAGAAUGUCGCGGUGAAUACGUUCCCGGGCCUUGUACACACCGCCCGUCACACCAUGAGAGUCGAUAACACCCGAAGCCUGUGAGCUAACCUUUUAGGAGGCAGCAGUCGAAGGUGGGGUUGAUGAUUGGGGUGAAGUCGUAACAAGGUACC
Molecule: ribosomal RNA, 237 nt
Filed under: uncultured bacterium
Lineage: Bacteria
Description: partial 16S ribosomal RNA
Rfam family: Bacterial small subunit ribosomal RNA
Source: RNAcentral